AAACAGGAUUAGAUACCCUGGUAGUCCACGCCCUAAACGAUGUCAACUAGCUGUUGGGGCCGUUAGGCUUUAGUAGCGCAGCUAACGCGUGAAGUUGACCGCCUGGGGAGUACGGUCGCAAGAUUAAAACUCAAAGGAAUUGACGGGGACCCGCACAAGCGGUGGAUGAUGUGGAUUAAUUCGAUGCAACGCGAAAAACCUUACCUACCCUUGACAUGUCUGGAAUGCCGAAGAGAUUUGGCAGUGCUCGCAAGAGAACCGGAACACAGGUGCUGCAUGGCUGUCGUCAGCUCGUGUCGUGAGAUGUUGGGUUAAGUCCCGCAACGAGCGCAACCCUUGUCAUUAGUUGCUACGCAAGAGCACUCUAAUGAGACUGCCGGUGACAAACCGGAGGAAGGUGGGGAUGACGUCAAGUCCUCAUGGCCCUUAUGGGUAGGGCUUCACACGUCAUACAAUGGUCGGGACAGAGGGUCGCCAACCCGCGAGGGGGAGCCAAUCUCAGAAACCCGAUCGUAGUCCGGAUCGCAGUCUGCAACUCGACUGCGUGAAGUCGGAAUCGCUAGUAAUCGCGGAUCAGAAUGUCGCGGUGAAUACGUUCCCGGGUCUUGUACACACCGCCCGUCACACCAUGGGAGUGGGUUUCACCAGAAGUAGGUAGCCUAACCGUAAGGAGGGCGCUUACCACGGUGGGAUUCAUGAC
Molecule: ribosomal RNA, 700 nt
Filed under: Alcaligenes faecalis
Lineage: Bacteria; Pseudomonadati; Pseudomonadota; Betaproteobacteria; Burkholderiales; Alcaligenaceae
Description: bacterial SSU rRNA
Rfam family: Bacterial small subunit ribosomal RNA
Source: RNAcentral